This 517-nucleotide ribosomal RNA is filed under the name uncultured bacterium. RNAcentral's name for it is "bacterial SSU rRNA". It matches the Rfam family "Bacterial small subunit ribosomal RNA", at positions 19 to 518 of the family's 1533-position model. The record is from RNAcentral.
CUGGCUCAGAACGAACGCUGGCGGCGCGUCUUAAGCAUGCAAGUCGAACGGCAAGGAUGGUAGCUUGCUACCAUCCCUAGAGUGGCGGACUGGUGAGUAACACGUGGGUGACCUACCCUUGAGAUGGGGAUAGCCAUUAGAAAUAGUGGAUAAUACCGAAUACGCUCUACGGACUCUGGUUUGUAGAGGAAACAGGCUACGGCCUGGCUCGAGGAUGGGCCCGCGUCCCAUUAGCUAGUUGGUGAGGUAAGAGCCCACCAAGGCGACGAUGGGUAUCCGGCCUGAGAGGGUGUACGGACACAUUGGGACUGAGAUACGGUCCAGACUCCUACGGGAGGCAGCAGCUAAGAAUCUUCCGCAAUGGGCGAAAGCCUGACGGAGCGAACCGCCGCGUGAACGAAGAAGGCCGUGAGGUUGUAAAGUUCUUUUCGGGAGGGGGAACGAGGCUGCCAGGCAAUGGGCGGCCGAUGACGUGAAUCCCGGAAUAAGCCCCGGCUAACUACGUGCCAGCCGCGGC